This 95-nucleotide transfer RNA is filed under the name compost metagenome. RNAcentral's name for it is "tRNA-Cys". The record is from RNAcentral.
ACGGCUUCUGGUUUGCGCCGGAACGUCUGGCGCUGCAGGCGCUGGUGACGGAGAGCCAGAAGAACGUGACCGGUACGAUGCGAGUGAAGCUGUAC